This 378-nucleotide ribosomal RNA is filed under the name uncultured bacterium. RNAcentral describes it as "bacterial SSU rRNA". It matches the Rfam family "Bacterial small subunit ribosomal RNA", at positions 29 to 429 of the family's 1533-position model. The record is from RNAcentral.
AACGAACGCUGGCGGCAUGCCUAACACAUGCAAGUCGAACGGACGGUAGCAAUACCGUUAGUGGCGGACGGGUGAGUAACGCGUGGGAACCUGCCUCGAAGUUCGGAAUAACCGCGGGAAACUGCGGCUAAUACCGGAUGUGGCCUGAGGGUCAAAGGCGCAAGUCGCUUCGAGAGGGGCCCGCGUCCGAUUAGCUAGUUGGUGGGGUAACGGCCUACCAAGGCGACGAUCGGUAGCUGGUCUGAGAGGAUGAUCAGCCACACUGGGACUGAGACACGGCCCAGACUCCUACGGGAGGCAGCAGUGGGGAAUAUUGGACAAUGGGGGAAACCCUGACCCAGCAAUGCCGCGUGGGUGAUGAAGGCCUUCGGUUGUAAG